RNAcentral lists this ribosomal RNA (492 nucleotides) under uncultured bacterium. RNAcentral describes it as "partial 16S ribosomal RNA". It matches the Rfam family "Bacterial small subunit ribosomal RNA", at positions 29 to 507 of the family's 1533-position model. The record is from RNAcentral.
AGUGAACGCUGGCGGUAGGCCUAACACAUGCCAGUCGAACGGCGGCACAGUAAGAGCUUGCUCUUACGGGUGGCGAGUGGCGGACGGGUGAGGAAUACAUCGGAAUCUACUUUUUCGUGGGGGAUAACGUAGGGAAACUUACGCUAAUACCGCAUACGACCUACGGGUGAAAGCAGGGGAUCUUCGGACCUUGCGCGAUUGAAUGAGCCGAUGUCGGACUAGCUAGUUGGCGGGGUAAAGGCCCACCAAGGCGACGAUCCGUAGCUGGUCUGAGAGGAUGAUCAGCCACACUGGAACUGAGACACGGUCCAGACUCCUACGGGAGGCAGCAGUGGGGAAUAUUGGACAAUGGGCGCAAGCCUGAUCCAGCCAUACCGCGUGGGUGAAGAAGGCCUUCGGGUUGUAAAGCCCUUUUGUUGGGAAAGAAAAGCAGCAGGUUAAUACCCCGCUGUUCUGACGGUACCCAAAGAAUAAGCACCGGCUAACUUCGUG